Schistosoma haematobium is the source of this 45-nucleotide non-coding RNA. The record is from Rfam. Lineage: Eukaryota; Metazoa; Platyhelminthes; Trematoda; Strigeidida; Schistosomatidae.
AUCCACAUGAAGAGUUCCAAAUAGGACGAGACAAGCGUCCUGGAU